Non-coding RNA from Tribonema minus, 71 nucleotides. The record is from the annotation of a GenBank genome assembly. NCBI's taxonomy places the organism in Eukaryota, Xanthophyceae, Tribonematales, Tribonemataceae.
ACCGCACUGGUGUAGUGGCAACAUCUAACCUUCCCAAGGUUAGGCCUCGCGUUCGAUUCGCGGGUGCGGUA